Molecule: unclassified non-coding RNA, 427 nt
Filed under: Hevea brasiliensis (rubber tree)
Lineage: Eukaryota; Viridiplantae; Streptophyta; Magnoliopsida; Malpighiales; Euphorbiaceae
Source: RNAcentral
GAGCGCUUCAAAUGCAUGACAAUUACUGACAACAAAAUUCAUGUUAAUCAACCAUCACCUGCGCUGCGCAGAAACUCUGUGUUGAUGAGCCUUAAUAUCAUUUUGAAUUCUAUCAGCAUACAUUGGCAAGUGAAUGAUCUCAUCAAUCUCCUUGAACAAGACUUCCUCAUUAAUGUUAUCCCUUAUACUCCGCAUUACCUUUUUGUAGGUAUUGAACUCAUUUGGGGUUGAUUUGUCUGCCCUAAUCCGCAUAAAGACCCAUAACUGCCUCUCAGAAUCCCAAGAGCACUCUAUGAUCUUCCCUACAUACGAAGACAGAUCUGAUACAUCAUUAAAGACAAUUCUAUUUCUCUCCAUUAGCUUCUUUCUUCCACGUUCAUUCAGAAAAAGAAGUUGUUGAUUUUGAACUCCCAACUCAAAAAGAAAG